UGGGGAAUUUUGGACAAUGGGCGAAAGCCUGAUCCAGCAAUGCCGCGUGUGUGAAGAAGGCCUUCGGGUUGUAAAGCACUUUUGUCCGGAAAGAAAUCCUUGGCUCUAAUACAGUCGGGGGAUGACGGUACCGGAAGAAUAAGCACCGGCUAACUACGUGCCAGCAGCCGCGGUAAUACGUAGGGUGCAAGCGUUAAUCGGAAUUACUGGGCGUAAAGCGUGCGCAGGCGGUUUGCUAAGACCGAUGUGAAAUCCCCGGGCUCAACCUGGGAACUGCAUUGGUGACUGGCAGGCUAGAGUAUGGCAGAGGGGGGUAGAAUUCCACGNGUAGCAGUGAAAUGCGUAGAGAUGUGGAGGAAUACCGAUGGCGAAGGCAGCCCCCUGGCAAGUACUGACGCUCAUGCACGAAAGCGUGGGGAGCAAACGGAUUAAUACCCUGGUAGUCCACGCCCUAAAANGAUGUCAACUAGUUUGUUGGGGGAUUCAUUUUCCUUAGUAACGUAGCUAACGCGUGAAGUUGACCGCCUGGGGAGUACGGUCGCAAGAUUAAAAC
Molecule: ribosomal RNA, 553 nt
Filed under: uncultured bacterium
Lineage: Bacteria
Description: partial 16S ribosomal RNA
Rfam family: Bacterial small subunit ribosomal RNA
Source: RNAcentral